Styela clava is the source of this 1606-nucleotide non-coding RNA. NCBI's taxonomy places the organism in Eukaryota, Metazoa, Chordata, Ascidiacea, Stolidobranchia, Styelidae. The record is from RefSeq and is a predicted model, not a curated record.
UUCUUCAGAACAUAUUUUUGUUUUCACAGACUUAGGACGCGUUUCCUUUUUAGUCUCGAGUUUUGUCGCCUUCGGUGUGAUUUUUCUGUUGCUUUUUCGUAUUAAAAUAUAAUAUAAUCAUGCGCGAAAUCGUUCACUUGCAAGCCGGACAAUGCGGAAACCAGAUUGGUGCCAAGUUCUGGGAAGUCAUCAGUGACGAACACGGAAUUGACCCAACUGGAACCUACCAUGGUGACAGCGAUCUUCAACUAGAGAGGAUCAACGUCUAUUAUAAUGAAGCAACCGGUGGAAAAUAUGUCCCAAGGGCAAUCCUUGUCGAUUUAGAACCGGGCACAAUGGACUCUGUGAGAUCUGGCCCGUUCGGACAAAUUUUCAGACCAGAUAACUUCGUUUUCGGGCAAAGUGGUGCCGGUAACAAUUGGGCCAAAGGCCACUACACCGAAGGUGCAGAACUCGUAGAUUCAGUUUUAAGAUGUUGUUCGUAAAGAAGCAGAAAGCUGCGAUUGUCUUCAAGGUUUCCAACUUACACAUUCUCUUGGCGGAGGAACUGGGUCUGGAAUGGGAACUUUACUUAUUAGCAAAAUUAGAGAAGAGUAUCCAGAUCGAAUCAUGAACACAUUUAGCGUAGUCCCUUCACCAAAAGUAUCAGACACUGUGGUCGAACCAUACAAUGCAACUCUUUCAGUGCAUCAGUUGGUUGAAAAUACCGAUGAAACUUAUUGUAUUGAUAACGAGGCUUUGUACGACAUUUGCUUCCGAACAUUGAAACUCACCACACCAACAUAUGGAGAUUUGAACCAUCUUGUCUCUGCCACAAUGAGCGGUGUCACAACAUGUCUCCGAUUCCCAGGUCAACUCAACGCUGAUCUUCGUAAAUUGGCUGUCAACAUGGUUCCAUUCCCUCGUCUCCAUUUCUUCAUGCCUGGAUUUGCUCCUUUGACCAGCAGAGGUAGCCAGCAAUAUCGCGCUCUGACCGUUCCUGAGCUCACACAGCAAAUGUUCGAUGCCAAGAACAUGAUGGCUGCAUGUGAUCCAAGACAUGGACGCUACCUGACCGUUGCCACCAUGUUCCGUGGACGCAUGUCCAUGAAGGAAGUCGACGAGCAGAUGCUCAACGUACAAAACAAGAACAGCUCGUACUUCGUUGAAUGGAUUCCCAACAACGUCAAGACUGCUGUUUGCGACAUUCCACCCCGUGGUCUAAAGAUGGCUGCCACUUUUGUUGGAAACAGCACUGCCAUUCAGGAACUCUUCAAGCGUAUCUCUGAACAAUUCACUGCCAUGUUCAGAAGAAAGGCUUUCUUGCAUUGGUACACUGGAGAAGGUAUGGACGAGAUGGAAUUCACUGAAGCCGAAAGCAACAUGAACGACUUGGUGAGUGAAUAUCAACAAUACCAGGAUGCAACUGCAGAGGAAGAAGGUGAAUUUGAUGAAGAGGAGGAAGAUGAAGAUGUUGCGUAAAUGACCGACCAUCCAAUCAAUGUUUCUGUUUGAAGAAAAAAAAAACUUUGUAAAAAAAAAUAAAUACACUAUUUUUGCUUGGUGACUGGGACAUAAAUAUAUUUGGGUGAACACAGCUUUCAAAUAAAUUUCACUGGAUAGCUUU